GGAGACAUCGCUCAGUGGUUAAGAGCACUGGCUGCUCUUCCAGAGGACCUAGGUUCAAUUCCCAGCAUCUACA
Molecule: transfer RNA, 73 nt
Filed under: Neotoma lepida (desert woodrat)
Lineage: Eukaryota; Metazoa; Chordata; Mammalia; Rodentia; Cricetidae
Rfam family: tRNA
About the family: Transfer RNA (tRNA) molecules are approximately 80 nucleotides in length. Their secondary structure includes four short double-helical elements and three loops (D, anti-codon, and T loops).
Source: Rfam by way of RNAcentral